ANUCNAUCUNNCCUANGANNANUAAAUGGCCGCGGUAUUUUGACCGUGCNNAGGUAGCAUAAUAAUUAGUUUUUUANUUGAAAGCUGGAAUGAAUGAUUGGACGAGAAAAUAACUGUCUCAAUUUAAUUUUAUUANAAUUUUAUUUUUAAGUAAAAAAGCUUAAAUAGUAUUAAAAGACGAGAAGACCCUAUAGAGUUUUAUAAUUGGGUGAUUAUUAAUUUUUUAGAAUUAUUUUAUUAAUAUUCAAUUAAUUAUUUUGUUGGGGCGAUAGAAAAAUAUAAAUAACUUUUUUUAAAAAUUUUUAACAUUGAUUUAUGAUUUUAUGAUCCAUUAUUUAUGAUUAGAAGAUUAAGUUACCUUAGGGAUAACAGCGUUAUUUUUUUUUAGAGUUCUUAUCGAAAAAAAAGAUUGCGACCUCGAUGUUGGAUUAAAAUUAAAACUUGGUGCAGAAGCUUAGUUAUUAGGUCUGUUCGACCUUUAAAAUUUUACA
RNAcentral lists this ribosomal RNA (491 nucleotides) under Serica falcata. RNAcentral's name for it is "partial 16S large subunit ribosomal RNA". It matches the Rfam family "Archaeal large subunit ribosomal RNA", at positions 1979 to 2669 of the family's 2987-position model. The record is from RNAcentral. Lineage: Eukaryota; Metazoa; Arthropoda; Insecta; Coleoptera; Scarabaeidae.